AGAGGUUGCAGUGAGCUGGGAUCACACCACUACACUCCAGCCUGGGCAACAGAGCGAGACUCCGUCUCAAAAAAGAUUUCCAGACUCUGCCUACUGUUCUCUCCUCCCUGACCCCACCUGGUUCCUGCUCCCCGAUCCCUCCCCUUUGGUUAACCCUGGAAGCCUCUUCACUGGCUCCCUGCUCUCCAUCCUCGCCACACAGCCAGAGGGACCUGUGAGCGCCUCAGCUGGGUGUCCCACCCCUGCUCAGAGGUCUCCUGUGGCUUCGUCUCAGAGUAAAAGGGUAAAGUGGUCAUCGAGGCCCCUGAGACCCCACCUGAGCUGCUCCACCUUCCUCUUCGGCCCAUCUUUCUGUCUUGCUUGGUCCACCCGACCCGCCUUGACGUUGAAACUCUCCAAACUCCUUCCUGACUCGUGCAUUUACAUUGCCACCGCUGCUCCCUUGGCACCGAGACCCUCCAAGGAGGAGCUGACCCGCUGUCUGGCAGAGGUGGUCACAGAGGUGCUGACCGUGGGCCAGGUCCAGAGAGGACCCUGCACUGCUCUUCUCCACAAGGAGUUGUGCGGGACAGAGCCCCACGGCUGUGCGUCCACCGAGGAGAAAGGCCUGCUGCUUGGGGAUUUCAAGAAGCAAGAGGCUGGGAAGAUGAGGUCCAGCCAGGAGGUGAGGGAUGAGGAAGAGGAGGAGGUAGCAGAGAGGAAC
Molecule: long non-coding RNA, 703 nt
Filed under: Pan troglodytes (chimpanzee)
Lineage: Eukaryota; Metazoa; Chordata; Mammalia; Primates; Hominidae
Description: long non-coding RNA NONPTRT008526
Source: RNAcentral